CACUCAUAUGGAGAGAGUUGUCC
This 23-nucleotide small nuclear RNA is filed under the name Arabidopsis thaliana (thale cress). Its description in RNAcentral is "snRNA_05753". Lineage: Eukaryota; Viridiplantae; Streptophyta; Magnoliopsida; Brassicales; Brassicaceae. The record is from RNAcentral.